CAGCCGCCGCGGGAAUACGGAGGGCGCGAGCGUUACCCGGAUUUACUGGGCGUAAAGGGCGUGUAGGCGGCCUGGGGCGUCCCAUGUGAAAGGCCACGGCUCAACCGUGGAGGAGCGUGGGAUACGCUCAGGCUAGAGGGUGGGAGAGGGUGGUGGAAUUCCCGGAGUAGCGGUGAAAUGCGCAGAUACCGGGAGGAACGCCGAUGGCGAAGGCAGCCACCUGGUCCACUUCUGACGCUGAGGCGCGAAAGCGUGGGGAGCAAACCGGAUUAGAGACCCCUGUAGUCCCUGUCUCUUAUAC
RNAcentral lists this ribosomal RNA (301 nucleotides) under uncultured bacterium. RNAcentral describes it as "partial 16S ribosomal RNA". It matches the Rfam family "Bacterial small subunit ribosomal RNA", at positions 509 to 807 of the family's 1533-position model. The record is from RNAcentral.